UAUGAAGCGGGGAUAGAGUAUGAAUAUGUAGUAGGUGCUUAUACCUAUGCAUGUCUUUACACUAUAAGUAGCUGCUUGUUAAGCUAUACUGUGUGCAAGCUAGGAGGAGAACCCCCUUGCACCCCAGUGCUGGAAAUAAACAUACCUGCUUUAUAACUCAUUUUGGGUUAUAGGGUUUGAUUCCGCAAAACAAUUUGGCACCCCAGAUGGGACACCCUCUCUGCCCAGCUGCAGGAUCGGUGGGGAGUGGGACAUUCUAAGGCAUGCCCCGACCUGAAGGAUGCCUACUUUUGCCUCCCUCUCCAUGAAGCCAGACAGAAAAUAUUUGCAUUUGAAUGGAAAACCCUGAAAGCAGAUGCAGAACUCAACUCACCUGGAUAUUUGAUAUCAACUUGCAAAGGAUCUUGAGGCCUGGAAGCCCCACCUGAGGAAGGGAGAUUGUUGCAGUAUGUAGAUGAUACCCGGAUUGCCACCAAGACAAGGCUUGCAUGACCUGGAUGGUGAGUCUGUUAAACUUUUUGGGGCUCCAGGGAUACUGGGUAUCUAAAAGAAGGCCCAAAUAAUGCAAUCUACUUGGGCUAUGAAAUCAGCGCUGGACAAAGAAAUUUGGGACAGGCCUGAGAAGAGGCAAUAUACCAAACCCCAAGACUGUAAACAGUGAAAGAGUUAUGAACUUUCUUGGGGAUGACGAGGUGGUGUCGGCUAUGGAUCUGUAACUAUGGACUGCUUGUUAAACCCCUGUAUGCACUACCACCGCAAAGAGGCUGUGUGAGCCUUUGAACAGCUGAAGAAAGCCCUGAUGUCAGCCCCGGCCUUAGAACUUCAAGAUGUGAGUAAGCCAUUUUUCCUUUUCUCUCAUGAGAAGCAAGGGAUUACCCUAGGGCCUGUCUGUUUACGAGCGGUUUCAGCCGUUGUGCUAAACAUCCAGGAGGCACGAAGAUUUACCCUGGACCAGAAAAUGACUGUGUUAGUGUCUGGAAGCAAGAGUGAAAAUACAGGAGAACCAGUGCACCAGGACUGCUAAGCAUCAAGGCCACAUACUUGAGCCAUUCGGACCUGAAAGACAAUCCCAUAGAAGACGCUGAGGGCUGGUUCAUGGAUGGAAACAGCUAUGUCUUAAGCAAUAAAAGACAUACCAGGCCAAAAACAUCAAGCAUGCAGAGGGAUUCUGAGACUGCUGGAAGCAGUCCAGCUACCUGAGAAAGUGACAGUCAUGCACAUCAAGGCACACCAGAAAGUGAAUUUGGAAUUGGGGAGAGGAAAUGAGCUGGCAGACAGAGAGGCAAAACUGGCAGCCAAAGGUGAGGUAAUAACAACAGGGGCUUUGAUCCCUGACAGGCGAAUCUCCUUAGAAGGUAAGCAGAAUAUACCAAGGAAGAUCAGAUAAUGAGAAAAUUAUUAUAGACCUGGGAGGGUCAUAUAGUAAAGAGGGAUGAGUCCUCACUCCACAAGGGAAACUAAUCAUUCCCCCUUAUUUAACAUGGCUUUUGAUGAGGGAAGAACACAGGAAGAGACAUGAGGGGAGCAGAAGCUUUAUAGAAACACCUAAUUAAAGGGAUUGCAGCUAGAAAUUUAUACAUCAUUGUAAGACAAGUGGCUCAGCAGUGUGACCUUUGCCUCCAGACUAAUCCCAAAAUUACCCCAAACCAGAAAUGGGCCAAAUUGGAAGAGGCAACGGGCCUGGGCAAUAAUGGCAGAUUAAUUUUUCAGAACUCCCAAGACAGGGGGGAUGUUGAUACUUAUUGGUAUUAACUGGUACCUUUUCAGGUUGGCUGGAGGCAUUCCCUACUAGAACAAGGAGAUAGCCAGAACAUUAAUACAGGAGAUAAUACCACUCUUUUUGUUCCAGCAACUAUGUCUCCUGAUAGGGGACCACGUCUUAUCCCAGAAGUAGUACAACAGAUCAGUCACUAUUUGCAUAUGAAAUCAUGACCUGCAUGGUGGCAUUGGACAAACAGCUCCAAAAGAUUGCCCUGGUUUUGCAAAUCUGGAGCCAGCUGACCCCAGCAGGCUGGUCCAGCUGCUCUGCCCACUGGGCUGCUACCAUAUCUAUCCUGUCCCACUGGCUUUUGGUACAGCCAGAGCAAGUCCCAGGGAGGUGAAUGGUUUGCAGCCUUGAACCAGGUGCUGCUGCCACCCACACCCCACUCCCUCCACCAGACAGGGAGCAAAGGUAUGGCCCUAGAGCAGGUAAAGGUGGGGCUGUGCCUCACACCAGCUGCAUCUGUAUAGAUAAAUCUACAACCCAAAAGAAGCAGAUGAGAAGCAAAGCCUGCAGGCAGGCACCAAAAAAAACCCCUUUCGUAGGCCUUGGAAGAUGCCCUGGAGUAAAGCUCCAGUGAGUGGCACGUAUGAAAACUAUAGGUGAAAUGGUGCCUACCACCUCUGCACAGUAAUGCCUAACCUCAAUAUUAACUGAGGGUAUAAAAUUUUCCUGGCUGACAUAAUUCCAUAAUAGUAGGAAAUAAUUAUAUAAAUCUCACUAUUUAAAAAAAAAAAAGUCUUUUUUAACAAUGUUUUCUCUGCUUUGUAUAGGACUAUCCUUCAGCCAGGACAGAAAACGUGCUCUUUGGGAUCAGAGCACAUCAGCCUGCAGCUCUCACCUGUACAUGCCAGCACUUCAAAGUUUCCUGCCCAGAGUUCAGACCCUACGACUGUCUCCUGUUUAUCCCAUGUAUUUGCCAUCACAACAUUAAUUUUUUGACCUUUCUUUUUAUGAAAAAAUUGAAAUUUUUAUCCAUUUUCUCAGUUUCCCUUCCUACCACUUAAGUGUUGUCACUUUCUUGCAGUGAGAUGAAGUAGGUCACUUCAAUUUGCUGCUUCAGUCCCAGAUCCAGGUAGAUUUUUCUCAUUUAGGAUCAUGUGGGCAAGCUGGGAAGAGAAAGUGCAGUGCUUCAUCUUGGAAGUCUGGGAUCUGGCGAUAUCUCUUAGGGUGAGAGAGAGUACUUUGUGGGUGACUGCUUUCCCAGCAAAUUCUGACUAUUUCUGUGUAUAGACUCGGCAAGGCAUGGGUUUAUGGCUCAAAGCAAGUGAUGCCCCCAGCCCCCGGCGGCAAGACUGGAAGUGGUGGAGAGCGUGGCUGGACCUGCCUGGCGGGGGACAUGAGAGCGUGUUACCUAUCCUCCCACUGGAUCCAGUGAGGGACAGGGACAGAGAACUUAAAAAUCCACACGAAAAACUGCAACCUGGUGUGGUGUGGUGUGUGGUGUGGUGUGGCGUGGUGUGGAAUGGUAUAGCAUGGUGUGGCGUGGUAUGGUGUGGCAUGCCAUAGUGUGGCAUGGUGUGGUGUGGCAUCCGUGGAUACCCACCAUCUUCUGGACCCUCUGGAUAAAGAAACACGUGUUGUUACAUGCAGAGUCCCUAAAGUGGUGACUCUCAUCUUUCCCAUUUCUCUUGUACCUAUUUCUCUCUUUUUCCUUUUCUCUCUUUUCUUCUUUUCUCCAUUUUCUCUCUUUCUCUCCCUUUUCUCGUUGCAACACGUGCA
Molecule: long non-coding RNA, 3484 nt
Organism: Cuculus canorus (common cuckoo)
Lineage: Eukaryota; Metazoa; Chordata; Aves; Cuculiformes; Cuculidae
Exons: 3
Source: RefSeq, a predicted model, not a curated record